Molecule: ribosomal RNA, 253 nt
Filed under: uncultured bacterium
Lineage: Bacteria
Description: partial 16S ribosomal RNA
Rfam family: Bacterial small subunit ribosomal RNA
Source: RNAcentral
UACGAAGGGGGCUAGCGUUGCUCGGAAUCACUGGGCGUAAAGGGUGCGUAGGCGGGUUUUUAAGUCAGGGGUGAAAUCCUGGAGCUCAACUCCAGAACUGCCUUUGAUACUGGGGAUCUCGAGUCCGGAAGAGGUAAGUAGAACUCCGAGUGUAGAGGUGAAAUUCGUAGAUAUUCGGAAGAACACCAGUGGCGAAGGCGGCUUACUGGUCCGGUACUGACGCUGAGGUGCGAAAGCGUGGGGAGCAAACAGG